Molecule: ribosomal RNA, 890 nt
Filed under: uncultured bacterium
Lineage: Bacteria
Description: bacterial SSU rRNA
Rfam family: Bacterial small subunit ribosomal RNA
Source: RNAcentral
GUGCCAGCAGCCGCGGUUAAUACGGAAGGUACCGGGCGUUAUCCGGAUUUAUUGGGUUUAAAGGGAGCGUAGGCCGUAUGGUAAGCAGUGUUGUGAAAUGUCCUGGCUCAACCAGGGCCCUGCAGCGCGAACUGCCGUACUUGAGUGCGCUGGAAGUAGGCGGAAUUCGUGGUGUAGCGGUGAAAUACUUAGAUAUCACGAAGAACUNCCGAUUGCGAAGGCACUUACCGUCGCGUAACUGACGCUGAAGCUCGAAAGUGCGGGUAUCGAACAGGAUUAGAUACCCUGGUAGUCCGCACGGUAAACGAUGGAUGCUCGCUGUUCGCCCUCCGGGGUGAGUGGCCAAGCGAAAGCAUUAAGCAUCCCACCUGGGGAGUACGCCGGCAACGGUGAAACUCAAAGGAAUUGACGGGGCCCGCACAAGCGGAGGAACAUGUGGUUUAAUUCGGAUGAUACGCGAGGAACCUUACCCGGGCUUGAACUGCAGGAGAACGAUACAGAGAUGUUGAGGUCCUUCGGGACUCCUGCGGAGGUGCUGCAUGGUUGUCGUCACUCGUGCCGUGAGGUGUCGGCUUAAGUGCCAUAACGAGCGCUAACCCCUGUCCCUAGUUGCCAUCAGGUCAUGCUGGGCACUCUGUGGAUACUGCCACCGCAAGGUGUGAGGAAGGUGGGGAUGACGUCAAAUCAGCACGGCCCUUACGUCCGGGGCUACACACGUGUUACAAUGGCGCAUACAGAGAGCCGGUUCAUGGCAACAUGGAUCCAAUCCUUAAAUGCGUCGUAGUUCGGAUUGGGUCUGCAACCCGACCCCAUGAAGCUGGAUUCGCUAGUAAUCGCGCAUCAGCCAUGGCGCGGUGAAUACGUUCCCGGGCCUUGUACACACCGCCCGU